RNAcentral lists this ribosomal RNA (447 nucleotides) under uncultured bacterium. Its description in RNAcentral is "partial 16S ribosomal RNA". It matches the Rfam family "Bacterial small subunit ribosomal RNA", at positions 29 to 523 of the family's 1533-position model. The record is from RNAcentral.
AGCGAACGCUGGCGGCAGGCUUAACACAUGCAAGUCGAACGCCCCGCAAGGGGAGUGGCAGACGGGGGAGUAACACGUGGGAACGUACCCUUUGGUUCGGAAUAACUUGGGGAAACUCAAGCUAAUACCGGAUAAGCCCUUAUGGGGGAAGGUUUACUGCCGAAGGAUCGGCCCGCGUCUGAUUAGCUAGUUGGUGAGGUAAUGGCCCACCAAGGCGACGAUCAGUAGCUGGUCUGAGAGGAUGAUCAGCCACACUGGGACUGAGACACGGCCCAGACUCCUACGGGAGGCAGCAGUGGGGAAUAUUGGACAAUGGGGGCAACCCUGAUCCAGCCAUGCCGCGUGAGUGAUGAAGGCCUUAGGGUUGUAAAGCUCUUUUACCCGGGACGAUAAUGACUGUACCGAGAGAAUAAGCCCCGGCUAACUUCGUGCCAGCAGCCGCAGUAA